ACAGAGGUCUCGGGGUCGUGAGAAGACAGAGAUAACCCUAAUCUCCAAAUCCUUCGUGUCCGGCGACGCCACCAGAUUCCCACCAAAAUCGGAACCCCGUCGUGAUGGGCGACGCCGCCGACGCCCCCCGCCGGCAACGGCUGGCCUCAAUUCUCCUUGCCCGGAAACCGCGCCUCACCGACAGCAGGAACGAGACCACGGCCACAGCCGUAUCCAUGGAUGGCUUCACCAUGGCGGUCUCCUUCUGGAUGGCCGACCCGCCGCAGCUGUCCAUCUUCUCCAUCUACUGCUGCAGACCCCCUCAUCUGCAAGCCGGGCCGUACUGCAAUUUCAAAGAUUUGCCACGCGUGGUCGGCGUCGGCGCGGAGGGCCGUUUCGUCCUCUUCCGCGCCGUCUUCGACCGCCGCUACACAUCCGAAUAUUUCCUGUACAAGGCCGGCGAGUCGCCGUCGCUCGAGUGGAUUCCUUCUCCCUACGAGUACAAUGAUGGCGACCUCGAUGAUCUGCGCGGGGUCAGGGAGUUCGGCGUCCUGCAGCAGCUCGGCGGCCACUAUCUCGUGGCCGCUCUCUGCCUCGCCCCGUUGUCGGAUGACUAUCACCUUCGGAUCUACUCGUCCGAGAGAACGUCAUGGAGCACCAGGACCCCGCCCAAUCCAUGUCCUGGGGUCGACAGGAUUAUACCCAACAAGGUGAUCACUCUUGGAGAAGAAGGCCUACUAGGGUGGGUUGAUUUGUCACAGGGCCUGCUGAUGUGCGACCUGCGUCAAGAUCAUGUGCGUUUCACUUUCAUCCCGUUGCCGGAGCCGUUGCCUGGGAACAGAUACAAACUAAAAGGUCAAAUUCCCCCUCCCACCGCAAAGAGAAGCAAAAAACUAGAGGGCGAAUCUCACCCAAAUCUCUGCUGGUUUCGGGAUCUCGCAUGGGUUGAUGGCGUGCUCAAGUUUAUUGAGAUGGAGAAUCUUGCUCCUGAAAGCCGGAGCGACAAGGGUGAUGUUAUCUACGAUUCAGACUUGAUCAUGUCGCUCGAGCGCAAAGCCGUGGAUUGGCAUUGCAAGCAGCUGUCCAUUGGGGGUGCCUGGAGGGCUGUCACAUGGACUCGGACAGUUUCGUCCAAUGUUGGCGCCAGACAUGCGCUGCCAAUGUCGCUGACAUCUUGGUUGUCGACGGAUCAGCGCAUUCAUCUUUGUUGCCCGGGCUAAAGGGAGAAAAGUUGACAUUCAGGGACCUCUACUCAGCUUUCCCCAUCCCGAGCCCGGAUGGUGACGAUAUUCUUUAUCUCAAAUCUAUGGUGGAACCCAGUAAUAAGGAUGGAUGUGUGGCCGCUGUUGACUUGGGAAACAAGGCUGUGAAAGCAGUUGGCAAGUAUUAUCUUCCGGAUGAUUUUUAUUACCACUUUCGCCAUGACCCUGAACAUCCUUUCCGUGUCUGUACAUUGUCCCGCCAUCUGGAUAUGACUCCAGGCAUUGAAGUCUCAGCGUGUCGCAAGAUCAUAGGGGAUGCUAGCAGCUCUUCAAAUUAUCCAAGCAACACCUCAUUCCAUGCGGGUGAGCUCAAUUCCUGCGAACCAAGGAGCAAAAUCCAAAGGCAAGUUUCUUAUUCUCUAACCUUUCUUCUGCUAAUGCCUGGGCACCUAUGAUCCAAUUUAGAUCAAUUCGUUCUAUAAUUUGAUAUCUAUUCACCUAUUAGUUUUACCUGAUAUUACCAUAUUGGGGUAUUUUUUCUAGUUGACUUUCUGUUCCUCAGGUCAUUGGAAUGGGCUCAGAAAAACAAGCGUGCACGAAAUGCUGCUGGGACUAUUAUGCAGAAUGAUCAUAUUUCCCAGGUCCAUCCUAUUGAAAACAAUCUGUGGAGGUUUCCAUGAGGGCAGUCCAAUUUACGUUCUGUUUAUUAUCGGUGGCUCAUCUAAUCUCUCUCUCUCUCUUCGUCCGUGAUGCGAGCAGCAGCUUGACGAUAAGGUGCUGGAGCUAGAGCGGGGGUGGAAACAGAAGAGAGAGCAGAAGCCACAACAGCAGUGCUUCAACAAGUGGGAUGCGCCGUGCUACCCCCCUGGACAUUCAGUGUGGCCCCAUCAAAACAAUCUGUCACCGAGGAAAUACUUCAACAAGCCAGACGGACCAUGUGUCCUUGGGUAUGCAUGUUUGCCCCCUGUACAGCUGGGUCGUCACAACUACCAACCUCUGUGGCGCAGCCACCACCAUCAAAACAGCAGUUGACUUCUAGCAGUGAGUUUGGACCUCAUGAGGUAAAGACAUUGGUGAAGCUUAUGAUAUUCUGCUAUCUCCUCUAUUGACAUGUAGCUCUGGAACGGACCAUCUUCACUUGUUAAAAAUUACUCGCAAGAUACACAUUCUAAGUAGUACUCCCUCUGGUCUUUUUUACUCCACGUAUUAGAUUUGUAAUAUCAAGUCAAACUUUGCAAAGUUUGACAAAAUUUAUAUUAAAAAAUAUCAACAUAUACAAUACCAAAUAUAUUAUUAUAUGAAACUACAUUCCAUAAUGAAUCUAAUGAUAUUGAUUUCGUUCUAUGAAUGUUGAUACUUUUUUCUAUAAGUUUGGUCAAAUUAGAGAUAGUUUGACUUUCAGCUGAACUUAUAUGCAGACUAGAAAUGACCGGAGGGAGUAAUUCUCUCACAUGUGCUGUCAUGCCGAUGGACCCAACUUGACAUGUUCUGUGCAUUUUUUUAAUUAUUUGUUUUGAAAGUAAAAGAGGGAAACAAACUAUGGGCACCAAGUUUAAAAAUAUGUAAUCAGUAAGUCUAAAAGCAACUGCAUUAUUAUAGUAAAUUCAUUAUUUGAGUUCAUUGGAAUAUAAUAAGCAACAAAGAUGAAAUUAUCUAUUUCUGCUGUGAUGUGCUACUUUUGACGUGUUGCCUAGGUGUCUGUUUUUUCAUCAUCUUACUACUAUAAGUUGUUAAGAUUUCAGGCACCCCAGCCAUGCUUCAACAAUUGCAGUGGAGCCAGCUACCAUGUGUAUUAACAACAAAUUUCUGCCCCUAACUCAUUUGCCUAUGGCGCACACACCUGCUAUGCCAGCUACCAACACCAGUGGCUUCAACUCUUACUUUGGAGCUGCCUAUUGUGAUAUUGCUGGCUAGAUUUGACUGGAUCGAUGGCUAUGCUCAGGUCAGGGGCCCCUAUAGUGGUGGCGUCGUCCCGGACUCUGUGUCUGAUGCCGGGCUAGGAGUGAAAGGAGCUGCCUUUCUCUCCUACCGUGGUUGGUAAAUCAUGAUGUGAACGAUGGGUGAGAUGUUUCGGACAUGGAUGCCGGGGCGGCGGCUCCGGAUGGUGGUCCACAUGGUUGGCUUUCCGGCGGGCAUCAUGAUGGCGGCGGUGGCUUCCCUCUUUGCGCCGUUCUUCCUCUUGAGGGCAUUGUCGAGGAGCUUAGGUGUACUAGGGCGUAGUGCGUCGUUGUUCUCAUUCUUCUGUGUAGUAUCUACGUGAUACGGGUAUUCUAGAGUCUGCUUUGUAAGAGGGUUAUCUCACCAACACUCCCACACCACUAAUAGCUUCGUUCCACUAAUGGCUCACUAUUCCCUUCUCUUCUCCCUUCUUAUUUUCUUCUCCCCACCCCCCUGUUCUUCAAAGCUCCAACUUCCCCCAUGAUAAUUAAUUAGGGCAAUUCCACCACGGUUCAUCAAAUAGCCCGCAAAUGUCCUUACCACGUGAUACGUCUCUGUCGUAUCUACUUUUUUAAACACUUUUGCCCUUGUUUUGGACUCUAACUUGCAGAUUUGAAUGGAACUAACCCGGACUGACGCUGUUUUCAGCAGAAUUGCCAUGGUGUUAUUUAUGUGCAGAAACAAAAGUUCUAGGAAUAACCUGAAACUUCACGGAGAUUAUAUUUGGAAAUAAUUAAAAAUACUAGCGAAAGA
Triticum aestivum (bread wheat) is the source of this 3872-nucleotide RNA transcript. RefSeq lists it as uncharacterized. NCBI's taxonomy places the organism in Eukaryota, Viridiplantae, Streptophyta, Magnoliopsida, Poales, Poaceae. The record is from RefSeq and is a predicted model, not a curated record. The transcript has 7 exons.